This 881-nucleotide long non-coding RNA is filed under the name Nicotiana tabacum (common tobacco). RNAcentral's name for it is "long non-coding RNA (NTAB_LNC007317)". Lineage: Eukaryota; Viridiplantae; Streptophyta; Magnoliopsida; Solanales; Solanaceae. The record is from RNAcentral.
GUUUUAAACCCUAAACUGAACUUUCCCUUUAGUCAGCAUUAGGGUUUUAAACCCUAAACUGAACUCUUUCUUUCAGUCAGCAUUAGGGUUUUAAACCCUAAACUGAACUUUUCCAUUCAGUCAGCAUUAGGGUUUUAAACCCUAAACUGAACUCUUUCCUUUAGUCAGCAUUAGGGUUUUAAACCCUAAACUGAACUUUUUCCAUUUAGUCAGCAUUAGGGUUUUAAACCCUAGACUGAACUUUUUCCAUCCAGUCAGUAUUAGGGUUUUAAACCCUAAACUGAACUUUUCCUUCAGCCAACAUUUGGGUUUUAAACCCUGAAAUGAACUUUUCUAGUUAGUCAGCAUUAGGGUUUUAAACCUUAAACUGAACUUUUUCCAGUCAGUCAGUAUUAGGGUUUUAAACCCUAAACUGAACUUUUCCAUUCAGUCAGUAUUAGGGCCCCAAUCCUAAACUGAACUUUUCCCCAGUUAGUCUGUAUUAGGGUUUCAACUCUAAACUGAACUUCUCCCCAGUUAUUCAGUAUUAGGGCUCCAACCCUGAACUGAGCAUUUUUACCUUAUGGCAAUAUUAGGGAUCCAAUCCCGAAGUUGCAUUUUGUGGUCCAAUCCCUUCAUCAACUUUGUAAACUUCCCUGCAACUAACUCACGAAAUUUUCCUAGUAGAACUGGGGCAGAAAAUUUCGUUCGUUUGUUUUUCCCCACAGGUCUGACCUCGAGACACAUGGAUGGAGACGACCCACAAGAUGAGUCUCAACUCAGAAUAAAAGAAGAAAAAGACAAAAAGAAGAUGUGCCGAGAUAUUCGGAAAGGCGAAGGGCGGAUCGUUCAAAGUUUUGAUCAAGGUCCCGAAUUCUACCAACCCCGUCUUACUCAGUGUC